CCCGUUGGCACUCUGCCUGUAAAGUCAAAUUGCUAAUGAGAAAGUCCACCACAUGUGUGUUUUCACCUCUCGCUCCCACAUUGUCUUUGCUCUGAUUUUUUUGGCUGGAGUGCUGCGCCGUAGGAUGUGAUGUCAGCACAGACGCGGGCAGCACCUGUGGAUCUACGCACAAAGGCGGGCAGCGAGCCGAUGGGUUCACGACCCCCAGCGUCCCUCAUGUGGAUGCAUCUGGAUGCUGCUGCCUCUCAGGAGCCUCCAUCUUACCUUUCACGCUUCGGCCAAGUCGACAUCGUAACCGUUGCACUCGGCAAUCUUCCAUCUGCACAGAGAUGCUUUCAAGAGGUUCCGUAGCCACUCGGGCAACACUUCACGAUAAAUAUCUCUCUCUCAGAAGAGAAAGGACGGGAGCCAUGUGGUUGAGUGCCUCGACAGCUACUUCCAGAAAAG
Gasterosteus aculeatus aculeatus (three-spined stickleback) is the source of this 447-nucleotide long non-coding RNA. The record is from Ensembl. Lineage: Eukaryota; Metazoa; Chordata; Actinopteri; Perciformes; Gasterosteidae.